This 511-nucleotide ribosomal RNA is filed under the name uncultured marine eukaryote. RNAcentral's name for it is "SSU rRNA". It matches the Rfam family "Eukaryotic small subunit ribosomal RNA", at positions 619 to 1148 of the family's 1831-position model. The record is from RNAcentral.
UUAAAAAGCUCGUAGUCGGAUUUUGGCUGAGAACGGUCGGUCCGCCGUUAGGUGUGCACUGACUGGUCUCAGCUUCCUGGUGAGGAGGUGUGCUUCAUCGCCACUUAGUCACCGUGGUUACUUUGAAAAAAUUAGAGUGUUCAAAGCGGGCUUACGCUUGAAUAUAUUAGCAUGGAAUAACACCAUAGGACUCCUGUCCUAUUUCGUUGGUCUCGGGACGGGAGUAAUGAUUAAGAGGAACAGUUGGGGGCAUUCGUAUUUCAUUGUCAGAGGUGAAAUUCUUGGAUUUAUGAAAGACGAACUUCUGCGAUUUAGCAUUUGCCAAGGAUGUUUUCAUUGAUCAAGAACGAAAGUUGGGGGCUCGAAGAUGAUUAGAUACCAUCCUAGUCUCAACCAUAAACGAUGCCGACUAGGGAUUGGCGGAUGUUAAUUGAUGACUUCGCCAGCACCUUAUGAGAAAUCAAAGUUUUUGGGUCCCGGGGGGAGUAUGGUCCCAAGGCUGAGACUUAAA